Molecule: ribosomal RNA, 253 nt
Filed under: uncultured bacterium
Lineage: Bacteria
Description: partial 16S ribosomal RNA
Rfam family: Bacterial small subunit ribosomal RNA
Source: RNAcentral
UACGUAGGGCGCAAGCGUUGUCCGGAAUUAUUGGGCGUAAAGAGCUCGUAGGUGGUCUGUUACGUCUGCUGUGAAAACCCAGGGCUUAACCCUGGGCCUGCAGUGGAUACGGGCAGACUAGAGGUAGGUAGGGGAGAAUGGAAUUCCCGGUGUAGCGGUGAAAUGCGCAGAUAUCGGGAGGAACACCGGUGGCGAAGGCGGUUCUCUGGCCUGUAACUGACGCUGAGGCGCGAAAGCGUGGGGAGCAAACAGG